AACAAAGACCCCAAACAAUUCAUAUGCAUUUGGAUUCCUCUGCUCAUGGCUCCACUUCAUCAAUAUUUCCCACUUCAGUUAGAAUCCUGUUCUAAGACCCAUUAUUGGAUGCAGUUUUUUGGAAUAACUUUGUAGGAAUAUGAAAUAAAAAAUAAAGGAGAAAAGCUAAAACUACAUAAAUUCUGCUGGAAGGAUCCCCGAGAACGAAUUGCAGGGAUUUGCCUCCUAUUUGCAGAAUUUGCAAAAAGAAAAAGAAAAAGAAGAUAAAGAAAUGACAAGUCUUUCAGCCUAACAUCUGACCCUUCGAAAUUGGUAGAAGCACACGGAAAGGCAAAGCAUCACACCAACAAAUGGGAAGGAAGGAAAUAGGAAUGGUGCAGUAGAAGUUUAUUAAAGAUCCCAACGCAUUUCAGCCAGAAUUAUAUAUGCACAGAAAUGGAAGAGUAAUGAACUGCCUUCAAAAGAGGAUUGGCUGAUAAAAAUUUUGGAAUAUGCGGAGAUGGCAAAACUUACAACACUGAUAACAGAUCAAAAUUUGGAAGGCUUCAAAGAAGAUUGGAAACCAUUCUUGUUGUAUCUAAAGGAUAAUUUCCCUACUAUGGACUUUACAGCAGGGAUUGAAAUUUAGUAAAAAACUGCAGGUUGGGUAGAUUAACUGUGUUUGUAAGGGUUUAAAUUUAUGUUUUGAAUUAUUAUUAUAGCAAGGGUAAACUCUAUAGUCGAUGAUUCACGAAGAGAGGUGUGCGGGAAGUCCACUUUUGUGUAUAUUGUAAUGAAUGACAAUAUUAUUAUUGUUAAAAUCAAUAAAAAUCAAAUUUGAAAAAAAGAAAAUAAAACUACCACAAUACCACAA
This is a long non-coding RNA of Hemicordylus capensis (graceful crag lizard), 853 nucleotides long. RefSeq lists it as uncharacterized. The record is from RefSeq and is a predicted model, not a curated record. The transcript has 3 exons. Lineage: Eukaryota; Metazoa; Chordata; Lepidosauria; Squamata; Cordylidae.